GGUGGAAACUGCCUGGCUUGGGACCGGAAGACCAGAGGGGUACGUCUGGGGUAGGAGUGAAAUCCCGUAAUCCUGGACGGACCACCGGUGGCGAAAGCGCCUCUGGAAGACGGAUCCGACGGUGAGGGACGAAAGCUCGGGUCACGAACCGGAUUAGAUACCCGGGUAGUCCGAGCUGUAAACGAUGUCUGCUAGGUGUGCCACAGGCUACGAGCCUGUGGUGUGCCGCAGGGAAGCCGUGAAGCAGACCGCCUGGGAAGUACGUCCGCAAGGAUGAAACUUAAAGGAAUUGGCGGGGGAGCACUACAACCGGAGGAGCCUGCGGUUUAAUUGGACUCAACGCCGGACAUCUCACCAGCAUCGACAGUAGGAGUGACGGUCAGUGUGAUGAGCUUACCAGACCUACUGAGAGGAGGUGCAUGGCCGCCGUCAGCUCGUACCGUGAGGCGUCCUGUUAAGUCAGGCAACGAGCGAGACCCGCACUCCUAAUUGCCAGCAACACCCUUGUGGUGGUUGGGUACAUUAGGAGGACUGCCAGUGCCAAACUGGAGG
Molecule: ribosomal RNA, 552 nt
Filed under: Natronococcus occultus
Lineage: Archaea; Methanobacteriati; Methanobacteriota; Halobacteria; Halobacteriales; Natrialbaceae
Description: bacterial SSU rRNA
Rfam family: Archaeal small subunit ribosomal RNA
Source: RNAcentral